This 1507-nucleotide ribosomal RNA is filed under the name Paraclostridium sordellii. Its description in RNAcentral is "Paeniclostridium sordellii 16S ribosomal RNA". It matches the Rfam family "Bacterial small subunit ribosomal RNA". Lineage: Bacteria; Bacillati; Bacillota; Clostridia; Peptostreptococcales; Peptostreptococcaceae. The record is from RNAcentral.
UUAUAUUUGAGAGUUUGAUCCUGGCUCAGGAUGAACGCUGGCGGCGUGCCUAACACAUGCAAGUCGAGCGAACCCUUCGGGGUGAGCGGCGGACGGGUGAGUAACGCGUGGGUAACCUGCCCUGUACACACGGAUAACAUACCGAAAGGUAUGCUAAUACGGGAUAAAGUAUGAGAGUCGCAUGGCUUUUGUAUCAAAGCUCCGGCGGUACAGGAUGGACCCGCGUCUGAUUAGCUAGUUGGUAAGGUAACGGCUUACCAAGGCAACGAUCAGUAGCCGACCUGAGAGGGUGAUCGGCCACAUUGGAACUGAGACACGGUCCAAACUCCUACGGGAGGCAGCAGUGGGGAAUAUUGCACAAUGGGCGAAAGCCUGAUGCAGCAACGCCGCGUGAGCGAUGAAGGCCUUCGGGUCGUAAAGCUCUGUCCUCAAGGAAGAUAAUGACGGUACUUGAGGAGGAAGCCCCGGCUAACUACGUGCCAGCAGCCGCGGUAAUACGUAGGGGGCUAGCGUUAUCCGGAAUUACUGGGCGUAAAGGGUGCGUAGGCGGUCUUUCAAGCCAGAAGUGAAAGGCUACGGCUCAACCGUAGUAAGCUUUUGGAACUGUAGGACUUGAGUGCAGGAGAGGAGAGUGGAAUUCCUAGUGUAGCGGUGAAAUGCGUAGAUAUUAGGAGGAACACCAGUAGCGAAGGCGGCUCUCUGGACUGUAACUGACGCUGAGGCACGAAAGCGUGGGGAGCAAACAGGAUUAGAUACCCUGGUAGUCCACGCCGUAAACGAUGAGUACUAGGUGUCGGGGGUUACCCCCCUCGGUGCCGCAGCUAACGCAUUAAGUACUCCGCCUGGGAAGUACGCUCGCAAGAGUGAAACUCAAAGGAAUUGACGGGGACCCGCACAAGUAGCGGAGCAUGUGGUUUAAUUCGAAGCAACGCGAAGAACCUUACCUAAGCUUGACAUCCCAUUGACCUCUCCCUAAUCGGAGAUUUCCCUUCGGGGACAAUGGUGACAGGUGGUGCAUGGUUGUCGUCAGCUCGUGUCGUGAGAUGUUGGGUUAAGUCCCGCAACGAGCGCAACCCUUGCCUUUAGUUGCCAGCAUUAAGUUGGGCACUCUAGAGGGACUGCCGAGGAUAACUCGGAGGAAGGUGGGGAUGACGUCAAAUCAUCAUGCCCCUUAUGCUUAGGGCUACACACGUGCUACAAUGGGUGGUACAGAGGGUUGCCAAGCCGUGAGGUGGAGCUAAUCCCUUAAAGCCAUUCUCAGUUCGGAUUGUAGGCUGAAACUCGCCUACAUGAAGCUGGAGUUACUAGUAAUCGCAGAUCAGAAUGCUGCGGUGAAUGCGUUCCCGGGUCUUGUACACACCGCCCGUCACACCAUGGGAGUUGGGGGCGCCCGAAGCCGGUUAGCUAACCUUUUAGGAAGCGGCCGUCGAAGGUGAAACCAAUGACUGGGGUGAAGUCGUAACAAGGUAGCCGUAUCGGAAGGUGCGGCUGGAUCACCUCCUUUCUA